UGCAGAUGUGACUUGAUUUGGCUGA
This 25-nucleotide non-coding RNA is filed under the name Mus musculus (house mouse). Lineage: Eukaryota; Metazoa; Chordata; Mammalia; Rodentia; Muridae. The record is from RNAcentral.